CUGCUAAUAACAUUUUGCCUUGAGAUUUUUCCAGGCUCUAUGGAAAGGAAAAGUUCCCUAUAAAGUGAGGGCGUUUCUCAUCGCCUCCUAGCUGAUGGAACUUUUCGCAGCAGCCUGGGUCUCCAGCCUGAGGAUGUGGCUGGACCUCAGCCUGGAUGUUCCCAGCUCUCCCUCACUGCCUGCAUUCCUCUGACUGGCCAGUCGGAUCUGGUAUUUUUCCACCCUCCUCCUGGGGCGGCUUCCAUAUCACUCAGACAGCUGCCGCCACAUCCCGCAGCUUCAGAAGCGGACGUAAGGCGCAUUGAAGACCUUUCUGGGGUGGAUUUUCUAAAGGAAGCUGAGCCCCAGGCCUAUGAAGUUCCUAACGCACCCGAUGACCCCCACUGCAGGAAGAGGACACUGGAGCAGAGGAAACGACAUGGCCCAGGGCAAGCCAGUCACUAGGAGGAGUGGAAGAGCAAGUAAGAGGAUGACCCCACCUGAUGGGAACACCUCAACUGGGGUUGUGAUUGGCCCCCGGCACUGUUCUCUUGGGCAGCUGCUCCCCUGUCCGCAGAGAUGUCACGGCUCCCAGCAAGCAUGGCUGAUGAGUAGAGCAGGUCCGUGCCUGGGAUCCAAACCUGCAAACCCGGGCCACCGAAGCAGAGCACAUGGAACUUUAACCACUGGGCCACGGGGCCAGCCCCUAAUAAAUUUGGAAUAUUUUUUACAUGUUAAAUUCAUCUGGGGUUGCUAUGGACUGAAUAUUUGUGUCCUCCCAAAAUUCCUAUGUUGAAAUCUUAAGCACCAAGCUAUUAGGAGGUGGGGCGUUUGGGGAGGUGACUAGGUCAUGAAGGCAGAGCCCUCAGGAACGGGAUUAAAGCGCUUAUAAAAGGGACCCCAGAGAGCUCCCUUGCCCCUUCCACCAUGUGAGGACACAGCAGGAAGGUAGCAGAAGAGAGCUCUCACCAGACACUGAUCCGCCAGUGACCUGACCUUGGCCUUCCAGCCUCCAGAACUGUGAGAAAUAAAUGUUUGUUGUCUAAACCGCCCAACCUCUGGUGAUUUGUUACAGCAGCCCCGACAGGGAUAUUUUUGGAAACAUUGCACGUCAUAUCAUGAAAAAUAGAAUUUCUUAGCAAAGUAAAUGAGUAUCUCAGUGUUCAACAAGCCUGUAAGGUCAGAUCAGAGCUUCAUAACUGAAAAGAUUUUUUACAGAUUUAGGAUACAGACAUUAAGCCGUGGGUAUUGUGAAUUUUGAAAAUGGGAACAAAGAUCCAGUCAAGUUUUUACUUAUUUUAUUUUUUCCUAUUCUUGAGGAGUUGUUCCAUUUGCUGGGUCUGAGGCCGUAUGAGGCCAUAGAAAACACCACCUUGGAUGUGGCCAUAGUCCUAAGUCCCUGCUCUGACAGGGACUGUGGCUCACGAGCUGUUGUGUAUUGCUUUGAUAUGAUUUCAAAUCGACUUGUUUAUGACUUAGAUGAAGUUAGCGAAGUUUUUUUUUUUUUUUUAAUUUUUGGUGAGGAAGAAUCGCCCUGAGCUAACAUCCAUUGCCAAUUUUCCUCGUUUUUUGCUUGAGGAAGAUUAGCUCUGAGGUAACCUCUGUGCCAACCUUCCUCCACCUUGCAUGUGGGAUACCUUGUUUUAAUCCACUUGUUUAUGACAAGGAAAGAAAGAAAGAAAAGCAGUUGUUAUUUUGAUGUAAGAAUGAAGUAAGUCAGGAUAUCGUCAGCUCAUCUGUUGUUGAUAAGACCUCAGUAGCUGAGCUGAUGACGAACACUGCCUGGGGCUUAUUGAUAAGAACAUGGGAAGAAAACACUAUGGCAAGGGGACAUUUAGACCAUAAAUACCCAGAGUUUGUGAGGAAUAUCAGAGACUUUUGUUUGGGGCAAGACACUCUUUGCUGAUCUAAAUAAACUGUCUGAAGACCUUGGGACAUUAACUCCUACUGUGGUAAGGGUGACUCCCUUCCUGGUAAUGACAAAAGCUGCGCAGGGGCCCCUGGAAGCUUAUCCUGCCCACCGGCACCGGGGCCAUCCUUCCCUGGCAAUGUGCUCUAGCAACAGGGGACUUCUCACUUUGACUUUGCGCUGGCAGCUGGACAUCAGCUCUCGGGUGGUCAAGCCAUCUCUCCUGAGUGCCUGCUCCUAUAAAAAGACAUGGAACUUUUUCAAAGAAGCCAAGCUUCAUUCCCUCAUACAGGCUUUCAAAAGAAUCUGAGGUCAUUUUGGUAUUUUGGAUUCUCACCUACCUCUAAGGCAUCAACAAAUCGCCUUUCAGACAAAUCUCCUCAGAGAACACACCCUGGUUAUCAGCUGCAAAGGCCUGUCAUCAGCCUGCGCUGCCUCAUCUUGUCCCUCCAGCUUCUGCCUCCCCACUCCCGCAUGUCUGAACACACCGUGUCUGCUGGAUAAAGAGCUUCUGGCUGGGGCUGGAGCCUCCCUCCCGGGAAAGAAAGAGCUGCCUACAGAGCAUCAGAGUAAUUCUAACUCAGGCAUGACUCAGCUCUUCUGUGGCCUUCCUCUCAUUUCACCUUGAUUAGGCUGAUGUGCUGGUCCUACUUGUGGAGAUAGAUGUCUUCUUCCCCUGCUUCUCCCUGCUUCAAUUUCAGGAGAGAAAAUCCC
This 2602-nucleotide long non-coding RNA is filed under the name Equus asinus (donkey). RNAcentral's name for it is "lncRNA (ENSEASG00005034766.1)". The record is from RNAcentral. Lineage: Eukaryota; Metazoa; Chordata; Mammalia; Perissodactyla; Equidae.